CACACACACAAAAAGUUAAAAAUGGAGUUACCAUAUGACCCAGCAAUUCCACUCCUGGGUAUAUACCCAAGAGAAUUAAAAUAAUAUUUCCAAACAAAAACUUGUACAUGAUUGUUCGUAGCAUUCUUCUUUAAUAGGCAACAAGUAGACACAGUGCAAAUGUCCAUCAGCUGAUGAAUGGAUAAGCACAAUGUGGUGUAUCCUUAUAAUGGAAUAUUAUCCUAUUAUUCAGCAAUAAAAAAGAAUGAAGUACUGAUUCAUGUUGCAACAUGGAUAAACUUUAAAAACAUUAUGCCAAUGUUCUUCUUGUGUAAAAAGCCAGUUGCAAAAGACCAAAUAUUGUAUGACUCCAUUUAUAUUAAAUAUCCACUAUAGGCAAAUCCAUAGACACAGAAAGUAGAUGAGUGGUUGCCAGGUGCUGGGGGUAAGGGAAUGAAGUGAGUGCUAAUGGAGAUGGGGUGUUUCUUGGGGUGAUAAAAAUGUUCUGGAAUUAGUGGUGAUAAUUGCACAACUCUGAAUUUACAAAAACCCGCUGAAUUGUACACUUUUUAAAGGGGUGGAUGGUAAGAUAUGUGAAUUAUAUCUCAAUUUUAAAAGAGGAAAAAUAGUUUUUCAGUUGACUAAGUUGUGCUUUCUGGAAAUAUAUCAUCCACAAAUAAUGAUAAUUCUACCUUCUCCUUUCUAAUUUUUACGCCUCAUAUUGUUUCUCUUGUAACAGCAUCAGCUAUUGUCUCCAGAAAAUGUUGAACAAUUUUUCAUGAAAUUGGUGAUAGUGAACUGACUCUUCUUCUUCUUGAUCAUUUGAGGAAUGUUUCUCCCCUGAGCCAGCUUCUGGGGUGGGUGCACACACACGUGCACACAUUCACACGGUUAUCACAGUAAGAAAAUGUCUGUCUCUAUUUGUCAGGAAUCUGUGGAUAUUUUUCUCUUUGAUCUGUUAAUAUUGUGCAAUAUAUUAACAGAUUUUCUAAUAUUCAACCCUCCUUACAUUCCUGAAAUGUAUCUCACUUGGUUGUGUUGUAUAUUUAUUUUAAUAUUUUGCCAAUUUAGAAAGAUUGAUAUUUAUCUGCCGUAAAUGCAGCAUUGUUUAGAAUGGCCCCAAACUGGAAAUAACCUAGAAGUCUAUAUUAAUAAUGAUCUGUUUGAGGAAAGUGUGGUAGAAUCAUUAAUUGAAUACAAUGCAGACCUUUAAAAAUGAGGAAGAUCUAUAUAUGUUACUAUGGAAAAAUGUCCAAGGUUAUAUGAAAAAAGGUGAUGUGCAAAUGAGUAUGUUUAACAUGAUUCCAUUUGUGUUAAAUAAUGCUAUUAAUAAUAGUAAUAACGUGUGUUACUGUGAUUGUGUGUGCGUAGGAAAUUUCUGGAAGGAUAUACAGUUAACAGUGCUGGGGCAGGAGAGGCGGUCGUACGAAGGGAGGGGACUUACCGUUUUACAUUCUAUCUCGUAAUGUUGGCUUUUUUUCCUUAUAAGCUUAUCUUAUCCUUGUAAUAAAAAAGUUAAUUUUUAAAAAGGUAAAGCAAAACAAAAAUUCCUAAAGGUAAUGAUGAAGGAGAAGAAAGCAUUUUGUGCUGGUUCUUAGGCCACUUUUGGAUAGGCAGCCCUGAUACUGCUAAUCCAUCAAAGAUUUUCCGACCUCCGUCUGACGUUUACUGACCCCCCCCCACUCCGCCCUCUGCUGGAUGUCAGCCAGACGCAGCCCCUUUCGCAGCUCUUUCCACUCGGAGUGGAGAAGCCUGUCCACUGGGUCUCUCUCUGCAGAGCGUUCCAGCGGGGCGUGCCUGAAGAUCUUUACUCCACGCGGACUUUACCCAAAAGGCGAUGGGAAACCACGGAAUAGCUUCUCGGUGGAAGCAGGGUGAUUAGAUGUGUGUUUCGUGUCACCUCUCUGGCUGCAGUGUGCAUCCGGCUGGAGUAGCACAGGACUGGAGGCUGGAAGGCAGUUAGAGUCACCUAGAUCAAGGCUGCUGAAGUAACCUUCUGUCAACAGUUGAAAAUUGGAGUCUACGGCCAUACCACCUUGAACGUGCCUGAUCUCGUCUGAAAAUUGGGAGAAGUGGCAGAUUUGGCUGGAAAGGCAGAUGUUACAGAUAAACUAGCCAAGGUUUUGAUGAGCUUUACAUUCCAGAAUUAAGCUAUGAUUUUUUUCUUCUUCUAACUGUCUUAUAGUUUGCCAUUUUGGAGUGUGUGUGUAGAUAUAUAAAAGUGUGUACACAUACAUACAUUUAAGGAAAAAAGCCUUACUGGUAAUACUCUAACCUUAAGAUACAGGAAAAUUCUAGUUGAUUACAGUAUGUAUGUAGUUUUCGUCCUCUUCUUUUAGUAUGUUACUCCUCUGAAUUUCCCUGAGUUGUAGGGGGUGAGGGAGUAGAUGUAGGAGGGAGAUUGAACAAAACUUCACAGACAUAAAUUUCUUUUCAUAUAGAUGACGACAUGCACAGUUUCUUUUCUACCAUUUAAAAAGGUCAGGGAACACCUUUCAAAGUCAUUUAUAGUGUUCUUCACUGCAUGAUAGAUAAAAUUCAUAUGGUAAUUGGAAGUAAGUCUAACCAUAGUUUUCAUAUCCAUAUUUCAUCUUUUCUUCCUUUAGUGAGCAAGACCUCAGAAUUUCAAUACAAUGCAUGGGGUUUGGGGUCAGGAUUUUAGUGCCUGAAGCCUACCAGUCCCUGCUUUGCAGUCCUGCCCAGGAGGUGGUAACCAUAAGAACAGCCAGUGGGAAGGAAAGUACCACUUAGAACAGCUAGAAGAGCGCCGACUGCAGGACUCCCAGCUACGCUGCGAUGGAACAGCCUCUGUUCCCUUAUUCGCAUCCAUCAUCCCCUGCCUCUAAUAGAGAAAGCCUGGCUCAGGAAAUCCCCAAGUCCAAUUUCCCAUCUUGUUUGGAAGAAGGGAUGACAGGCCUGCCCCCUAAUAGGGCAGGAGAGCCUGCAUAUGGUUAAUACAGCAGCCCUGUUCAUUUGUAAACAUAAACCCAGUGAAUAUCUUGGGCUCACUUCAAUCUGGUUAACAAUUCCUCUUCCCUUAGGAGGGCUGACUAGGAAGGAGGCAGGUAAGGAGUAGAACUUCCUAAAUACUAUUGAUUGAGCCCACGUAACCAUUCUAGAGCCUUCAGUGCCACAGUGUGUGGGUCAUGUUUUAGUCUUCAAUCAAUUUCCAUACUAUACUGUUAAACUGAAGAAAAAUUUCAGUCGUCACCAAACUUUUAAAACAUUACAGGGUGCGCAGGCAUGUUAGGGAAGUGUCUCGGACCUUCCAGAUCUGCUCAGCUGCCAGCUGAAUACCACUGAGUGACUUUGUUGGAGACCAUGUACCGCACAAGAAUCACCCAGCCGAGCCCUGGCCCACCAAAUCACAAGAUGUAACAAAAUGGUGCUUGUUGAGUCACUGAGUUUUUGGGUAACCUUAGGUAGUGAUAACCAGAACAAACGUGUACUGUCCACCAUCCAUCACCUAAACCAAAGAUCGUUUUGCCUUUCUCACAGUUGGUGUUCAGUAUUUAUUGAUAACCCUUUCCAUUUCAGAACCUCCACCACUGUAUCUUAUUUCAUCGUUCGUUUGUGAGAUUUUCUUUUUUGCUAAAACACUGAUCUGCUUAUGACAUUUGAUUACAGGUCAUGCUAUUGGCCCUGCUUCUUGGAAGCUAUUAGUAAUUAAAAGCAUUCCUUCUUCACUUUUAAAAACUGGAAACAUUUCUUCUUCACUUUUAAAUUGCAUAACAACGAGAAGACCUGA
Equus caballus (horse) is the source of this 3727-nucleotide long non-coding RNA. RefSeq lists it as uncharacterized. The record is from RefSeq and is a predicted model, not a curated record. Lineage: Eukaryota; Metazoa; Chordata; Mammalia; Perissodactyla; Equidae.